This 68-nucleotide transfer RNA is filed under the name Marmota monax (woodchuck). Its description in RNAcentral is "tRNA.Ala". The record is from RNAcentral. Lineage: Eukaryota; Metazoa; Chordata; Mammalia; Rodentia; Sciuridae.
GGAUUGUGGCUCAGUGGUGGAGCACUUGCCUAGCAUGUGUGAGGCACAGGGUUCAAUCCUCAGCACCA